Molecule: long non-coding RNA, 2229 nt
Organism: Pipra filicauda (Wire-tailed manakin)
Lineage: Eukaryota; Metazoa; Chordata; Aves; Passeriformes; Pipridae
Exons: 3
Source: RefSeq, a predicted model, not a curated record
AACCCGUGGGGCGGACGGAGCCGGCUUUCCCCGGGCAGGCGGAGCGAGGCCUGCCCGGCCCCGCCUCGGGCCGCGCUCCGCGGGCGGCGGCACGGCGGCCCCUGCCGGCCGAGGGGCGCCAUGGCCCGUCCCCACAGUACGGCCGCGGGAGGGAAGGACGGAUGGAGCGGGCGCCGAGGUGGGGCUGAGGAGCUGCCGAGAGGCCCUGGAGGCUCCCCUGGCCGGCGGCCAUAGGCAGCCCGGCCUGAGGCGCCGGGCAGCGGCAGCGAACUCGGCACAGACAUGAGGACUUGGAGGCGCUGCGAGGGCCCGGCUGGGCAGCCGCGCUCCCGCCCCCCCCCGGCCCGCAGAUGGGCAAUGGAAAAGCUGAAGAUGGUGCAAAGCUCACAGGUGAAAGUAACAGAGUAACAUGACAUGACCUCGCUUCUGAGAGCUGUAGCUUCUCCUGAAACUCUUGAGAAAUACCCAUGGCAAAGAAAUUAAAAACCACAAGUGCUGCAAAGUGAGCACCCAGCAAAAUAACUUGUCCUAUGAUACACGAGUUAAACUUCAGACCCCUGAGGAAUCACUGAAGAACUUCCCACUGUGCAUAAAACUUGAAUGCAGCAAAUUCAAUCUAGUGCAGAAGGCAUUAAUCCCUUUUCCCAUCAUCAAACUCAAAGUUCAAGAAAUCUGGAAAAGUAUCCAAACCUCAGCAUGUGCAUCUGAUUCAAUCUCUGGCUGGGACCAGAAAACAUGACUUUCAUUACCAGAAGAUUAUAGCACUGCAUCAGGGAGUGCAUGAGACUGGGAUCUUACCUUCAUCUUUCCCUAGCCUGCUGAGCAGCUCUGGGCACUUCAUUGCAUGGGACUCUGUUCCUCUGUGCUGACCUUCACGCUGUAUGACAUGGCUUCAAAGAAAUGAAUCUUUGACUUGCAAAAACUGGGGGUGGUGGUGAACAAGCAACUGGCCUCUUCUUUAGGAAUUCUGCAGUCAAAGCCAAAGACUCUUCCAAUAACUGCCCUGUCUUUAGCCCCCCAUUCCUAAACAAAUGCUGCUGUUUUGCAGGGCAGUGCCAGAGACACCUGAUGAACUACAUUGAGCCAUAAUGCAGUCCAGUAAAGGUCACAUUUCAAUGUCUGGAGUACGGGUUUUCAGCUAUCUCCUGCCAGGUGUUACUGACUCCACUCAGUGACACAAGACAACUGAAACACAACACUUGUUGUUACUCCUAUUUGACCUAAACAUUGCAAAGCAAAGACUGGCUUAUCGGCAUAAGGAUGGAAUCCAACCAGGAUAUCACUUUCCCUCUUCAAAUAUACAAAUGUCCAUGGGAGACAAUGCAUUACCAUCCACUGUGUCACAAGUUAUGAAGUUUGUUUGCUACAGAAGAAAUCAGUGGCAUCAUGAGGUCUCAAGGUCUAUAAGCAAUCAGGAUUUCCUUGCAAGAGGACACAGUUUGCACCAAUUAAGCUCCAGCGACUUGUUCACAGUGGGAAACUGCUCUGAAUUAACAGAACACGGCUGUUAUUUAUGCCCUCUCUCCUGCAUGGUAACUUCACACCUUUCUUUAUUCAUCUUCUGUCAGAAGAUGCAAGGACUAUUCUCAGCCUCACAUAAUAGUAGAUGAAGUGAGAAGGCAGCAUUAUGGUGUCUCAAAGAACCUCUACUAGUGCAGAAAAUAAUCUCUAGGCACUGUACUCUUACAUGAUCAUCAAAUGCAGCUUGAAUCACUGCACACUGAGUGGCAACAACUAUCUUGCAGAAAUGAGGACAGAGCUGAGGCUCUGUCCUCCGGAAUUUCCAAUAGCCACCAGUUUCCAUGUGAGACUUGCUCUUGAUUUUCAAAGUCUUUCCACCUCCCCCACUAAAUCAACACCCAGUUACAUCAGCCAACAGUAUCUUCAUUCAGUCUUUUUGAUACACAGAAGCUUAUGAAAUUUAAGAGAAGCUAUACAGAAAGCAUUCAGGUUUACGAGGGUGUGUUCUCAGUAUUCACUUUUAGAGAUCUGAUGUCUGAGCUAUUCUCCUCCACUAGGGGCACAGAAAAAAAAUAAAACCUUUCCUCUGAGAAUUAAGUCAGCAAAGUAUCUUGGCAAUUUGGGAACAAUGCUAUUACUAGGCAAAUUCUUUGCUAAGAAAGAGUGGAGAAUGUAUCUUCAAAUAAGCUGAUGUUUAUUGAUAAAAUAGGGGAAGCACCUUUCAGCUCAAGACAGCAAGGCAUGGAAAGGUAUGACACUCUCAAAGCA